UAAACCAAAGAGAUACUGAUGUACCACAAACUACUUUUAGGUUCUUCCUGCCCCUCCUAACUAGAUAGAAACGGUAAGUCGAACUUUUUCAUACAAGGCAGAUCCUGUCUCUUGGUACUCAUAGUGGUGACAACCUCCUUUUUCGAUCUCGUUAAUACAAAGAUGAAAGUACGUAAUACCAACAGAUAAGACCCUUCCUAUCUCAAUUUACCUCAAUCAUUCUGGUAUAAACUACGACUAGUAUUCUAUGGUUGCCCGAGGUACCGAUAUACAGGAUGCGAGGAGAACUACUGUAUAUACUCCUGAGCGUUGGGACUCGGACCUUCUGUUGGCAACUCCGCCACCAGUACCCCGUUGCUAUCAGCUAUCGAUGAUAGUCUUGUAUUUGCAUACCGGGAGGAACAACGUAACUUCCUAAUAGCAGAUAACCUAAACGUCUUGGUCAAUUACUGUUCUACUACCGUCAUCGUUACCUCCCAGCACCAAAGACUUACGACUCUGAAGGUCAAAAAUCCUACCCAAUAAAUCAUACUUGUUUAUACGGUUGUAAGUAAUCAGCAUGAUAAAGAACUCCACUACGGUGACGAUGUCCAUACUGUAAUAGUAACCUGGAAGUUGAUAUAAAUAUAAUACAUAUACGAAGGUCUCUCAUGAAAAAAGACAUGAUAUAUGAUUUACUUUUUUUUUAAGAAAAUACGAUUUUGUACUGUACCGAUUAAUCAUUAACGUGAUGUAAGGACUAUUGAAAAUUUGAAAACCUUCUGUACUGUCACAACUUGGAACUAAUCCAUGUAUGUAUUUCAUGAUGGGAAAUUGCUAAACUUUUCCGUACAGGACACUAUGUUGAGCGGAACGAUUGACACGAUGUUUCACAGAUUUGGAACGUAAAAUAUAGUCCUACCAUUUUAAAGUUGUUAUGUAGUAGCAAGUUUGAUUUGACUUGAACUAUCUCAAAGUGACCUACGUUUUGGUGGCAACUAUUAAAUCGAUUAGCGAGUACUUCAACCACCAAUGAGAUGUGACGUCUCAUGACAUUUUAUCCUUUUGUGAUUAUUUACAACAUCAACAUAUAACUGAUAUUCACUUGGUCAAGAUUAACGAUUAAUUUUAUGUUUACUUCCUUGUGAACGCACUAGUAUGACGUUAAUUAAAUUGCAUGGAAUCUAAACUUUCUGACGAACAAAAGGGGGAAGAUAACGGUUCAAGUACCAAAGGAGCAACAGUAUAACAAGUGUUUCUUAAAAAAGAGGCUCCAAGGAUUUGGGUUAUCAACUUACGGGGGGUCAGUUUAAACCCUUACCUACGAAAUUACAUCUUCGGGUAGAUUAAUUUCCUUUACUCCUGUCCCGUUGGUAUCGAAUGAACCGUCUUUGGACGAGGCCCAAGCAUAUUCGACUUAUGACCGCGUUCAAUGAAACUACUACCUUGUCCAAGUCAACGACGUCACGAAUCUUUGAGAGCUCCCCUUCGAUAACGCCCUCGAAGGCUCGAUUAACUGGUACAAGAAUUACGGGUUUGAAGACUUUGAAACCGCGACAACGCUCCAAACUUCGAAGAAAGUCUCUAACCCACGUGGUUCCACUGUCAGCUUAGUCUAACAGAUCUUGACUAACUUCGUGCAUCACCUUUUUAACUCUAAAACCCAGGGUUACAUCGUUAUGAACGUCUGAAAAAAGUAUAACGAGUACUUUAAGGACCUUAAACAAAGUUCGUAACAGGUUCACUUCGAUUACCUAACCGUGUAAAAGACCGAUCCAUGAGAAUACUACAAUUGAGUUCAAAACAAACCCGUCUACAACGAGGGUCAAAAAAUGAAAGAGUACAUGAGCUGCUACAUUGUGACGGUG
Molecule: ribosomal RNA, 1847 nt
Filed under: Triticum aestivum (bread wheat)
Lineage: Eukaryota; Viridiplantae; Streptophyta; Magnoliopsida; Poales; Poaceae
Description: partial small subunit ribosomal RNA
Source: RNAcentral